GAGGAUAUAGCUCCAGUGAAAGGGCACAUGCUUAGCACGCAUGAGGUCCUGGGUUCAAUCCCCAGUGCCUCCU
This 73-nucleotide transfer RNA is filed under the name Camelus bactrianus (Bactrian camel). It matches the Rfam family "tRNA". Rfam says of the family: Transfer RNA (tRNA) molecules are approximately 80 nucleotides in length. Their secondary structure includes four short double-helical elements and three loops (D, anti-codon, and T loops). Further hydrogen bonds mediate the characteristic L-shaped molecular structure. tRNAs have two regions of fundamental functional importance: the anti-codon, which is responsible for specific mRNA codon recognition, and the 3' end, to which the tRNAs corresponding amino acid is attached (by aminoacyl-tRNA synthetases). tRNAs cope with the degeneracy of the genetic code in two manners: having more than one tRNA (with a specific anti-codon) for a particular amino acid; and 'wobble' base-pairing, i.e. permitting non-standard base-pairing at the 3rd anti-codon position. Lineage: Eukaryota; Metazoa; Chordata; Mammalia; Artiodactyla; Camelidae. The record is from Rfam by way of RNAcentral. RNAcentral also lists the same sequence under 1 other name.